AGCAAAUUGGUCCCAGUUUUCACCCUGCCGCAGGGCUGGCUGGGGAGGGCAGCGGUUUAGAUUAGCCGUGGCCUAGGCCGUUUGACGGGGUGACACGAGCCUGCAGGGCCGAGUCCAAGGCCCGGAGAUAGGACCAACCGUCAGGAAUGCGAGGAAUGUUUUUCUUCGGACUCUAUCGAGGCACACAGACAGACCAUGGGGAUUCUGUCUACAGUGACAGCCUUAACAUUUGCCAGAGCCCUGGACGGCUGCAGAAAUGGCAUUGCCCACCCUGCAAGUGAGAAGGUAACGUUUAUUUUUGUAUUUUUUUCUCUGUCUCCCAUAUACAGACUGUAGAAAGACCACCAAGAGCGGACCAUUUUUUUUUUUUCCCACCAUGAUGUACAAUUCACAUUUGUUAAUAAAAAAAAAGUGCCCGAGGUCAUCCACCUAGACUUUUUUUUUCUUAAACAGGAAACGGGUUUCAGAUGUUUAUAUGUUGAAAAGUAAGGCUACUAAUCCGUUUAGCCAUUUCACAGGCCCUGGCUCACUCUCUCGUACCUUUUCAUGUUCAGACCCCAUAGAACGACAUUAAUUUUUAUCCCUCUUGUUAUUUAGAAUUAAAAAAAAAAGACAAAAACAGAAAAACACUUUCAAUAGCCACCUGCUUUUUUGGGACAGCUCCAGUGGAGGUUAAAAUAAAUGAAUCCGCUGGUUUCAUUCAAUUGUGCUCUUAGCUGCGAGGGUGCUGUGCGGUGGGUUUGAGUGUUCAACACUCUUCAGCAAUUCCUUAAAAUAGAGCGUGGUCUCGUGUAUUUUCGUGUGUCUGUAUCCACAAGCGGAUCUCCGUUGAAGCAACAUAUUUAGAUGAACACUUAAGGUUCACAAACGCACAUACUUAUUCCGUCUAUAGCAAGGGUGGGAAUUGGUCUCUUCCGUACUUUUCUUUCAUUUUUCUGGGGGGUCAGUGUGAUGUUUUCCACGUUUCUUCUUGAUGUUCGGCUGUGCCAGGUAACAGAGAAAAGGCAUUUCCCAGGGAGCCGAUGAU
Molecule: long non-coding RNA, 1027 nt
Filed under: Homo sapiens (human)
Lineage: Eukaryota; Metazoa; Chordata; Mammalia; Primates; Hominidae
Description: non-protein coding LINC01082:6
Source: RNAcentral